AGAAUCAACGCUGGCGGCGUGCCUAACACAUGCAAGUCGAACGAGAAAGUGGAGCAAUCCAUGAGUAAAGUGGCGACCGGGUGAGUAACACGUGACUAACCUACCUUCAAGUGGGGGAUAACCUCGGGAAACCGGGGCUAAUACCGCAUAACAUCUUUGGAGUGGAAAUUCUGAAGAUCAAAGGAGCAAUUCGCUGGAAGAGGGGGUCGCGGCUGAUUAGCUAGUUGGCGGGGUAAUGGCCCACCAAGGCUUUGAUCGGUAGCCGGCCUGAGAGGGCGCACGGCCACACUGGAACUGAAACACGGUCCAGACUCCUACGGGAGGCAGCAGUGGGGAAUUUUGCGCAAUGGGGGAAACCCUGACGCAGCAACGCCGCGUGGAGGAUGAAGUCCCUUGGGACGUAAACUCCUUUCGACCGGGAAGAUGAUGACGGUACCGGUGGAAGAAGCCCCGGCUAACUUCGUGCCAGCAGCCGC
RNAcentral lists this ribosomal RNA (476 nucleotides) under uncultured bacterium. RNAcentral's name for it is "SSU rRNA". It matches the Rfam family "Bacterial small subunit ribosomal RNA", at positions 26 to 518 of the family's 1533-position model. The record is from RNAcentral.